CUAUGGGUCAUACUGGGUGCCUAUGGGUGAUACUGGGUGGCCUGUGGGUUAGACUGGGUGUCCUAAUGGGUGAUACUGGGAGCCCUGUGGGUGAUAACGGGGGCCUAUGGGUGAUGCUGGGUGCCCUAUGAGGGACACUGGGAGCCCUAUGGGUCGUAAUGGGUGUCCUAUGGGUGAUACUGGGUGUCCUGUGGGUGACACUGGGUGCCUAUGGGUCAUUCUUGGAGUCCUGUGGGUCGUAAUGGGAGUCCUGUGGGUGCUAAUGGGGGCCUAUGGGUGCUAAUGGGUGUCCUAUGGGCUGUAAUGGGGUCACAAACCACGUGCCCUAUAGGAUCACACUGGGUGCCCUAUAGGGUCACACACCACCUGCCCUAUAGGGUCACACACCAUGUGCCUUAUAGGGUCACACUGGGUGCCCUAUGGGUUACAUUGGGUGCCCUAUGGGGUCACACAUCACAUGCCUUAUGGGGUCACACUGGGUGCCCUAUGGGGUCACACACCACGUACCCUAUAGGGUCACACCGGGUGCCCUAUGGGGUUAUUCUGGGUACCCUAUGGGGUCACAGUGGGUGCCCUAUGGGGUCAUUCUGGGUGCCCUACGGGGUCACACACCACAUACUCUAUAGGGUCACACCGGGUGCCCUAUGGGGUCAUUCUGGGUGCCCUAUGGGGUCACACUGGGUGCCCUAUAUCCCCCCACCGCCAGCCCUACAGUCCGACCCCAUCCGCCCCACCCGCUCCCAUUUUACCCUAUGUCCUCCCACUGGCUGCCCUAUAGGGCCGUGCCUGUUCCCACCCUAAAAACCCCCACCCCAAAUCCCCCCUUUACCCAGGGAAGUGCCCGAAGCCCCUGAAGAACCGCGACGUGGUGACGCUGCGCUCCUGGCUGCCCAUGGGCGACGACUUCAUCAUCAUGAAUUACUCCGUCAAGCACCCCGUGAGCGAGACGGGGUGGCUGUAGGGUGGCUGUAGGGUGGCUAUAGGGUGACCUAUAGGGUGAGGGAGUUGAGUGCCCCGUUGCUGUGCCCUACAGAGGUACCCACCCAGGAAGGAUAUGGUGAGGGCGGUGUCGCUGCGCACCGGGUAUCUGGUGAGGGGGACGGGGGAACGGAGCUGCUGCAUCACGUAUCUGGCACAGGUCGACCCCAAAGGUAAUGGGGUCGGUGAUGGGGGAAUGGGGUGGGGAUGGGAUGGGAUGGAUGGGGGUUAUGAGAUGGGAUG
Molecule: long non-coding RNA, 1221 nt
Filed under: Phasianus colchicus (ring-necked pheasant)
Lineage: Eukaryota; Metazoa; Chordata; Aves; Galliformes; Phasianidae
Description: lncRNA (ENSPCLG00000020113.1)
Source: RNAcentral